Molecule: transfer RNA, 84 nt
Filed under: Perca fluviatilis (European perch)
Lineage: Eukaryota; Metazoa; Chordata; Actinopteri; Perciformes; Percidae
Description: tRNA-OTHER
Rfam family: tRNA
About the family: Transfer RNA (tRNA) molecules are approximately 80 nucleotides in length.
Source: RNAcentral
GCAGAGGUGGCCGAGUGGUUAAAGCGAUGGACUGCAAUCCAUUGUGCUUUACCGCCCAGCGUGGUUUCGAAUCCAUCCUCGUCG